This 260-nucleotide ribosomal RNA is filed under the name uncultured bacterium. Its description in RNAcentral is "partial 16S ribosomal RNA". It matches the Rfam family "Bacterial small subunit ribosomal RNA", at positions 15 to 272 of the family's 1533-position model. The record is from RNAcentral.
GAUCCUGGCUCAGGAUGAACGCUAGCUACAGGCUUAACACAUGCAAGUCGAGGGGCAGCAUGACCUAGCAAUAGGUUGAUGGCGACCGGCGCACGGGUGAGUAACACGUAUCCAACCUACCGGUUAUUCCGGGAUAGCCUUUCGAAAGAAAGAUUAAUACCGGAUAGUAUAACGAGAAGGCAUCUUUUUGUUAUUAAAGAAUUUCGAUAACCGAUGGGGAUGCGUUCCAUUAGUUUGUUGGCGGGGUAACGGCCCACAAG